Molecule: ribosomal RNA, 505 nt
Filed under: uncultured bacterium
Lineage: Bacteria
Description: partial 16S ribosomal RNA
Rfam family: Bacterial small subunit ribosomal RNA
Source: RNAcentral
GACGAACGCUGGCGGCGUGCCUAAUACAUGCAAGUAGAACGCACAGUUUAUACCGUAGCUUGCUACACCAUAGACUGUGAGUUGCGAACGGGUGAGUAACGCGUAGGUAACCUGCCUGGUAGCGGGGGAUAACUAUUGGAAACGAUAGCUAAUACCGCAUAAUAUUCAUUAUUGCAUGAUAAUUAAUUGAAAGGUGCAAUUGCACCACUACCAGAUGGACCUGCGUUGUAUUAGCUAGUAGGUGAGGUAACGGCUCACCUAGGCGACGAAACAUAGCCGAACUGAGAGGGUGAUCGGCCCCACUGGGACGGAGACACGGCCCAGACGCCUACGGGAGGCAGCAGUAGGGAAUCUUCGGCAAGGGACGAAAGUCUGACCGAGCAACGCCGCGUGAGUGAAGAAGGUUGUCGGAUCGUAAAGCUCGGUUGUAAGAGAAGAACGGGUGUGAGAGUGGAAAGUUCACACUGUGACGGUAACUGACCAGAAAGGGACGGCUAACUACGUG